This 73-nucleotide transfer RNA is filed under the name Dipodomys ordii (Ord's kangaroo rat). It matches the Rfam family "tRNA". Rfam says of the family: Transfer RNA (tRNA) molecules are approximately 80 nucleotides in length. Their secondary structure includes four short double-helical elements and three loops (D, anti-codon, and T loops). Further hydrogen bonds mediate the characteristic L-shaped molecular structure. tRNAs have two regions of fundamental functional importance: the anti-codon, which is responsible for specific mRNA codon recognition, and the 3' end, to which the tRNAs corresponding amino acid is attached (by aminoacyl-tRNA synthetases). tRNAs cope with the degeneracy of the genetic code in two manners: having more than one tRNA (with a specific anti-codon) for a particular amino acid; and 'wobble' base-pairing, i.e. permitting non-standard base-pairing at the 3rd anti-codon position. The record is from Rfam by way of RNAcentral. Lineage: Eukaryota; Metazoa; Chordata; Mammalia; Rodentia; Heteromyidae.
GGAGACAUGGCUCAAGUAGUAGAGUGGCUGCCUAGCAAGUACAAAGCCCUGAGUUCAAAUCUCAGUGCUGCCA